Molecule: ribosomal RNA, 696 nt
Filed under: uncultured Alphaproteobacteria bacterium
Lineage: Bacteria; Pseudomonadati; Pseudomonadota; Alphaproteobacteria
Description: bacterial SSU rRNA
Rfam family: Bacterial small subunit ribosomal RNA
Source: RNAcentral
AGUCGAGCGCCCAGCAAUGGGAGCGGCGGACGGGUGAAUAACGCGUGGGAAUAUGCCCUUUGGUACGGAACAACUCAGGGAAACUUGAGCUAAUACCGUAUGAGCCGGUAACGGGAAAGAUUUAUCGCCAAAGGAUUAGCCCGCGUCCGAUUAGCUAGUUGGUGAGGUAAUGGCUCACCAAGGCACCGAUCGGUAGCUGGUCUGAGAGGACGACCAGCCACACUGGGACUGAGACACGGCCCAGACUCCUACGGGAGGCAGCAGUGGGGAAUCUUGGACAAUGGAGGAAACUCUGAUCCAGCCAUGCCGCGUGAGUGAUGAAGGCCUUCGGGUUGUAAAACUCUUUCGGCGGGGACGAUAAUGACGGUACCCGCAGAAGAAGCUCCGGCUAACUUCGUGCCAGCAGCCGCGGUAAUACGAAGGGGGCUAGCGUUGUUCGGAAUUACUGGGCGUAAAGCGCGCGCAGGCGGCCUUUCAAGUCAGGGGUGAAAGCCCGGAGCUCAACUCCGGAAUUGCCUUUGAAACUGUAAGGCUCGAGUACGGGAGAGGUGAGUGGAAUUCCCAGUGUAGAGGUGAAAUUCGUAGAUAUUGGGAAGAACACCGGUGGCGAAGGCGGCUCACUGGCCCGUAACUGACGCUCAGGCGCGACAGCGUGGGGAUCAAACAGGAUUAGAUACCCUGGUAGUCCACGCCGUA